GCUGGGCAUGGUGGUGUAUGCCUGUAAUCCCAGCAGCUCAGGAGGCUGAGGCAAGAGGAUUGCAAGUUCAAAGCCAGCCUCAGCAAAAGCAAGGCACUAAGCAACAUCUGUAAGACUUUGUCUCUA
This 126-nucleotide small RNA is filed under the name Marmota monax (woodchuck). The record is from RNAcentral. Lineage: Eukaryota; Metazoa; Chordata; Mammalia; Rodentia; Sciuridae.